UGCAUGUGUAAGUUUAAAGACCAAGUAGGAUGAAACUGCGGACGGCUCAUUAUAACAGUAAUAGUUUCUUUGGUUAGUAUUUACAAGGAUAACUUUGUGAAUGAUAAAGCUAAUACUUGAGACGAUCCGGGAAGUAUUUUUACUACUCGGCCGCCGGUUGCGAGAUCGGGGAAGAAUGACAUUCUCUUCUGAAAAAGGAUGCCGCGACAAUUGAGGAAAGCGACGCUUUCAACAAGUAACCAAUGGGAAUUUCUGAUCUAUCAAUUUGUUGGUAGUAUCGAGGACUACCAAGAUUAUAACGGAUAACGAGGAAUUGGGGUUCGACAUCGGAGAGGGAGCUUUACAGAUGGCUACCACUUCUAAGGAAGGCAGCAGGCGCGUAAAUUACCCACUUGCGACUCGAAGAGCUAGUGACGACAAAUAACUCUUGGCACCCCUCGGGGUGACUUGAAGGAAUGAUUUAGAAGUAAAUUCUCUAAAGAAAUCAAUUGGAGGGCAAGUCUGGUGCCAGCAGCCGCGGUAAUUCCAGCUCC
Molecule: ribosomal RNA, 533 nt
Filed under: Entamoeba sp.
Lineage: Eukaryota; Evosea; Mastigamoebida; Endamoebidae
Description: bacterial SSU rRNA
Rfam family: Eukaryotic small subunit ribosomal RNA
Source: RNAcentral